RNAcentral lists this ribosomal RNA (427 nucleotides) under uncultured bacterium. Its description in RNAcentral is "partial 16S ribosomal RNA". It matches the Rfam family "Bacterial small subunit ribosomal RNA", at positions 355 to 774 of the family's 1533-position model. The record is from RNAcentral.
UGGGGAAUAUUGCACAAUGGGCGCAAGCCUGAUGCAGCCAUGUCGCGUGUAUGAAGAAGGCCUUCGGGUUGUAAAGUACUUUCAGCGAGGAGGAAGGCGUUGUGGUUAAUAACCGCAACGAUUGACGUUACUCGCAGAAGAAGCACCGGCUAACUCCGUGCCAGCAGCCGCGGUAAUACGGAGGGUGCAAGCGUUAAUCGGAAUUACUGGGCGUAAAGCGCACGCAGGCGGUCUGUCAAGGCGGAUGUGAAAUCCCCGGGCUCAACCUGGGAACUGCAUCCGAAACUGGCAGGCUAGAGUCUUGUAGAGGGGGGUAGAAUUCCAGGUGUAGCGGUGAAAUGCGUAGAGAUCUGGAGGAAUACCGGUGGCGAAGGCGGCCCCCUGGACAAAGACUGACGCUCAGGUGCGAAAGCGUGGGGAGCAAACA